RNAcentral lists this ribosomal RNA (253 nucleotides) under uncultured bacterium. RNAcentral describes it as "partial 16S ribosomal RNA". It matches the Rfam family "Bacterial small subunit ribosomal RNA", at positions 524 to 776 of the family's 1533-position model. The record is from RNAcentral.
UACAGAGGUCCCAAGCGUUGUUCGGAUUUACUGGGCGUAAAGAGCGCGUAGGCGGUCUGUUAAGUGAGAAGUGAAAGCUCCGGGCUCAACUCGGAAAUGGCUUUUCAUACUGGCAGACUGGAGUGAUGCAGAGGUUUGUGGAAUUCCUGGUGUAGCGGUGAAAUGCGUUGAUAUCAGGAGGAACACCCAUGGCGAAGGCAGCAAACUGGGCAUUAACUGACGCUGAGGCGCGAAAGCGUGGGUAGCAAACAGG